RNAcentral lists this ribosomal RNA (329 nucleotides) under uncultured eukaryote. RNAcentral's name for it is "partial 18S ribosomal RNA". It matches the Rfam family "Eukaryotic small subunit ribosomal RNA", at positions 1470 to 1796 of the family's 1831-position model. The record is from RNAcentral.
CCCUUAGAUGUCCGGGGCCGCACGCGCGCUACACUGAAGGAAUCAGCGUGGCUUUCUCCCUGACCCGAAAGGGUUGGGAAACCCGUUGAAUCUCCUUCGUGAUAGGGAUUGGGGCUUGAAAUUGUUCCCCAUGAACGAGGAAUUCCCAGUAAGCGCGAGUCAUAAGCUCGCGUUGAUUACGUCCCUGCCCUUUGUACACACCGCCCGUCGCUACUACCGAUUGAGUGGUCCGGUGAGGCUUUGGGAUCUGAGCGGAAAGAGCGUUUCGCUGUUUCUGCUCGUAAAACUCAGUCGAACCUUAUCAUUUAGAGGAAGGAGAAGUCGUAACA